UGGGGAAUAUUGCACAAUGGAGGGAACUCUGAUGCAGCAACGCCGCGUGCGGGAUGACGGCCUUCGGGUUGUAAACCGCUUUCAGCCAUGACGAAGCUUUUGUGACGGUAGUGGUAGAAGAAGCACCGGCUAACUACGUGCCAGCAGCCGCGGUGAUACGUAGGGUGCGAGCGUUGUCCGGAAUUAUUGGGCGUAAAGUGCUUGUAGGCGGUUUGUCGCGUCGAAAGUGUAAACUCAGUGCUUAACGCUGAGCCUGCUUUCGAUACGGGCUGACUAGAGGAGGGUAGGGGAGAAUGGAAUUCCCGGUGGAGCGGUGGAAUGCGCAGAUAUCGGGAGGAACACCAGUGGCGAAGGCGGUUCUCUGGACCUUUCCUGACGCUGAGAAGCGAAAGCGUGGGUAGCAAACAGG
RNAcentral lists this ribosomal RNA (409 nucleotides) under Fusobacteriota bacterium. RNAcentral's name for it is "Fusobacteria bacterium partial 16S ribosomal RNA". It matches the Rfam family "Bacterial small subunit ribosomal RNA", at positions 355 to 776 of the family's 1533-position model. The record is from RNAcentral. Lineage: Bacteria; Fusobacteriati; Fusobacteriota.